UCCGGCUAACUUCGUGCCAGCAGCCGCGGUAAUACGAAGGGACCUAGCGUAGUUCGGAAUUACUGGGCUUAAAGAGUUCGUAGGUGGUUGAAAAAGUUGGUGGUGAAAUCCCAGAGCUUAACUCUGGAACUGCCAUCAAAACUUUUCAGCUAGAGUAUGAUAGAGGAAAGCAGAAUUUCUAGUGUAGAGGUGAAAUUCGUAGAUAUUAGAAAGAAUACCAAUUGCGAAGGCAGCUUUCUGGAUCAUUACUGACACUGAGGAACGAAAGCAUGGGUAGCGAAGAGGAUUAGAUACCCUCGUAGUCCAUGCCGUAAACGAUGUGUGUUAGACGUUGGAAAUUUAUUUUCAGUGUCGCAGCGAAAGCGAUAAACACACCGCCUGGGGAGUACGACCGCAAGGUUAAAACUCAAAUGAAUUGACGGGGACCCGCACAAGUAGUGGAGCAUGUGGUUUAAUUCGAAGAUACGCGCAGAACCUUACCAACACUUGACAUGUUCGUCGCGACUCUAAGAGAUUAGAGUUUUCGGUUCGGCCGGACGAAACACAGGUGCUGCAUGGCUGUCGUCAGCUCGUGUCGUGAGAUGUUGGGUUAAGUCCCGCAACGAGCGCAACCCUCACUUUUAGUUGCCAUCAUUAAGUUGGGCACUCUGAAAGAACUGCCAGUGAUAAGCUGGAGGAAGGUGGGGAUGACGUCAAGUCCUCAUGGCCCUUACGUGUUGGGCUACACACGUGCUACAAUGGUACCUACAACAGGAAGCAAAACGGCAACGUUAAGCAAAUCCCGAAAAGAUACCUCAGUUCGGAUUGCACUCUGCAACUCGAGUGCAUGAAGCUGGAAUUACUAGUAAUCGUGGAUCAGCGUGCCACGGUGAAUGCGUUCCCGGGUCUUGUACACACCGCCCGUCACACCAUGGGAGUUGGUUCUACCUUAAGGCAAGGUUUUAAACCCUUGACCACGGUAUAGUCAGCGACUGGGGUG
RNAcentral lists this ribosomal RNA (979 nucleotides) under uncultured bacterium. Its description in RNAcentral is "bacterial SSU rRNA". It matches the Rfam family "Bacterial small subunit ribosomal RNA", at positions 492 to 1482 of the family's 1533-position model. The record is from RNAcentral.